Molecule: long non-coding RNA, 1050 nt
Organism: Ostrinia furnacalis (Asian corn borer)
Lineage: Eukaryota; Metazoa; Arthropoda; Insecta; Lepidoptera; Crambidae
Exons: 3
Source: RefSeq, a predicted model, not a curated record
AGUCCGCUUCAUCAGCUUUUUAGACGGAUCCAGACGGCUGAUCAUGAACGACUAUACUUUUCAUAAAUCGGGCAGCAGGAAGAACUGCCCUACCGUGCGCUGGCGCUGCUCAGCCAAGAUGAAAGGCUGCAAUGCUUUCGUUGUCAUGGAUAAGGAAGACAGGGUUAUAAAAUACCAGGCAGAUCACCAGCAUAGUCCACCGACUUACAUCAGGGAGAAUAGGAUAUUGUCCAGUUGUAACUUAACUGGUUUGCCAAUGUAGUCCUGUUUGAAGCCUCCUUAAGAAAGAACUAAAAAGAUGAUAUUUUACAUUAGAAACCAUUCUACGUCAUUUACCUUAAAUUCUCCUGAGUGUAUAAUCUGGACACGGAUUUCUUAUUUUCUGUUAGUUUUGGCUGUGAUAGUGUCGCAGAUUGAUGCCACUCUUCUUAGCGUCUGUCAAAAAUUUUCCUCGAGGCGCUGGCAGUAAUAACAUAAGCUCAUGAUGUCUUCAUUAAACUGGCAGAAGACGAUAUAACUUUCAUCAAGAAGCAAUUCGGCACCGGUGUCCUGUUAUAUGCGGGACACCGGUACGUCGCAAAACGGAGGUACAAAGAUGGUGGCACAGUUUUUGAAUGCACUUUUAGAAAGAAACUGAAGUGUAAAGGAAGAAUAACCGUGCGUGACAACACCAUUUACAAGCGGACAGGCCACUGCCAUCCCCCGAACCACGUUAAAAAUGAAAUAGACAAACAGAUAGAGAACAGUAAAGCUUUGUUAGCAACCUCGAAUAUACCAGUCGCUUCGGUGUACAAGGCAACGGUAGCAGCCUUGAAGGACCAGGGUUAUGACUUGACCACUGACCUACCUUCUUUCAAAAGUCUCAAAAGUUCCUUUUAUAGAAUAAAGAAGAGUUCUAACAAACUAAAGCCACAAGGAGAAAACGAAGGAGAAUUGGAUGAUGAUUCGAAUUAAAUUUUUGGUUAAAAUGUUGUUGAUUUGUUUAACCUUUUUUGUUUAGGUACAGCAGUUUGGUACCCAUAUUAUUAUGUUGUUUUGGACUCGGAAUGU